This is a long non-coding RNA of Meriones unguiculatus (Mongolian gerbil), 4103 nucleotides long. RefSeq lists it as uncharacterized. The transcript has 3 exons. NCBI's taxonomy places the organism in Eukaryota, Metazoa, Chordata, Mammalia, Rodentia, Muridae. The record is from RefSeq and is a predicted model, not a curated record.
GCAGAGCGGGGAUUCUGGCGAGUGCACACCCCAGCUACCAUCCGCCUCACCCUAUGGAAGCCUUGGAACCUGGUCGCUGCGCAGAUGCCUUCGGGAGCCAGAAGCAAAGGGGAAAUUGACAUAACUCCGGAGAAGCAGGUACUGAAUGCCUAACCUCAGCAGCAGCUUGGCCACCAUGAGAUUCUUUGAUCACACCCCACCACUACACCUAUGGAGACCUAAUCCAUUCUCAUUGACAGCAUUAGAGGAUCCAAAUGGUGCUAUGUGUUGGAAGCUGCCUGUGGAAUUAAAAGCAGCAUAGCCAUAGGAAGGAUCAUCCAUGCUGCUGCCCAGUCUUCUGGAACUCCCAGACAGCGAGAGUGUAGACUGCCUGCUCUGCUGCAGGGGGAUGGCCCUGCAAGGUGACCCCUGGAGGUGUUGGCAGCGUGAAGAGUGGCAGCCUCUGAUGAGGAGCUUCUGGUGGUUUCUGAGGAGUGAGGGAAGCCUGUUACAUGGAGGGAAUUUUUUUUUCUCUCUUUUGAGGUUGGGGCUGGGAGGGGAGGCAAGCAGCACCUGCUCUGCACACUCAGGCACAAAGCGUUUGCCGAGCUCUUCUUUGAGGCUGGCCCUUCCAGAGGGGCAGGCAGAGGUUCAAAAUGCACGUCUGCAUCCCGCAAAGGGAUUUCCAGAGCUGCUAGAGAUCUACGGUGGUCUGAAGACAACGGGUGCACUCUGUCAGCAGAAUGUUGCAUUAUACAACAAAGUCUUUGCAGAGGUGCUCAGCUAAGGCUCACCUAGGUUCGCUCCUUACGCAUUAAAUGUUAUUCUGUGUUCCUGGCACAAGAGAGAGGCUGGGGGGGGGGGAGGGAGGGUUUACAAUGGCGCAUGCACAAGACGUUGCUGGCGAUGGGAAGCAGCGACAAACACAGGAACAUCUGGCCAUCAGCAGGAGCUGCAGGGGCAAGGACCAGGCUCUUGGCUACGAACUGUAGUGGGAAGGUGGCUUGAUUUUCACCCAGCUAAAAAAAAAUAAAAAUAAAAAAUAAGCAGUUGGACUUCCCAGAACUGCUAGAGAAUAAGUCUAUGUUGCUUUAUGUCUCCAGAUGCAUGGUAAUUUGUUACAGUAGCGCCAGGGCCAGCCUUGCAGAUUAAGUGGAAACCUAGGUCUGAAGACAAUUCAGGUAAGUGGAGUUACAUCCAUUCCCCUGUGAAAUACAUAUUGAGUGACCAGAAUGGUCCAGGCACAGGAGCUGUGAACAUCGGAUGAGAAGUGUCUUAGGUACAGUUCUUUUGCUUUGAAGAGACACCAUGACCAAGGAAACUCUUUAAAAAAAGGAUUUAAUUAGGGCUUGCUUACAGUUUCAGAGGUCUAGUCCAUUAUCGUCAUGAUGGGAAAGCAUGGUGGCCCAGAUGGCAGUGGAGACCUACAUCCUGAUUCACUGGCUGAAGGUAGGAGAGAGAGAGAGGAAGAAGGAGAAGGAGAGGGAGAGAGAGAGAGAAAGCAAGCACGCAGGAGCACAAGCCUGGGCCUCUUAUGGACUUUUGAAACCUCUAAGCCCACCCCCAGUAAUACACUUUCCAACAAAGUCAUGCCUUCUAAUACUUCUAAUCCUUUCAAAAGUUCCAAUCCCUGUGAGUAAGCAUAAAAUAUAUGAGCCUAUGGUGGCCAUACUCACUGCAGAAAUUAUUGACAUGUGAUCUUUGUUAUAAUAAUGCUUUCAAGAGAACAUGCAAGGGUGAGGUGGAGUUGAAGAGAGAAAGGACUAGGGAGGAGGACGGCCUUUCAGAUGGGCUAUCCUGAGAUCCAAACCCUAAAUAUCAAGGCAGCCCUGGCAACUGGAGAAAGCUUUCUGAGAGGAAGGAGCUGUCAGUGCAAAGGCCCUGUGGUGGAGUGAACCAGCUGGAGCAUACCCCUGUGAGUAAGUGUGGAGAGCCUCUGUCGGGGGAGGCUGCUGCCGUCUGUCUGUGUCCUGCCUUGGAGCUAGCCUAGAAGAAAACACGUAAGUAUGCUGUAACAGGCACACAGUGUGUGUAAAGUGGACUAUUUGGAAUUUAACUGGAGUCAUGGUUUGGGCUUUAAACUAUGCUGGCCACUUUGACCAAAACCCCAAUGAUGAAAUUGAACAGGGACACAAUUAUCUUCCUAAGUCAGCAAAGGGAACCCACACACUGAGUGUGUUGUUUGUGCAAAGGCCCCAGAGCUCAACAUCAGCAAGUGUGAUACGGCAAAGCUGUCGGCAAAGGUGGCAUGCACCUGAAGCCACUCUCGAGAACAGGGAACACCUCAAGGGGAUGAGCUGUCCCUGGGUAGCACAGUUUAUGAGGUCAUGGAAACAAACCGUUUAUUCAUUUAUUCAUUCAAUUAAGAAAUGUUUAAUGAGCACCUAUCCAGUCCCCAACACAAACUAGGCUUUGGGGAAAUGACAGUGAGAAGGCUGUAGAUGGCACUAACUUCACAGAAGUUACUGGAGAGAGGCACAGGUUUGCUGUGUAAUUACUACUUUCUAAUAUAUUAAAGUUUUUAGAUUAUGAACUCAUUGUUCAUAAUAAAACAGCAAAAAAAAGUUAUUAUAGAAAUAUAUAGCAACUGGGUGAUGGUGGUACAUGCCUUUAAUCCCAGUACUCAGGAGACAGAGGCAGGAGGAUCUCUGAGUUAGAGGUCAGCUUGAUCUACAGAGCAAGUUCCAGGACAGCCAGAGCUACAACAGAGAAACUCUGUCUCAGAAAACAAAAACAAACAAAGAAAAUCAUAGUCUUCUGAAAGUAUUUUUUAGUUGUGAAUGUUCUCCUUACACAAACGCUCAUUUCUUUUUAAGGGCUGAGUAAUAUUCUGUGCUCUGAAUGCAGCACACUUUAAGUAUGGUCUUCUUGGUAGAUCUCGUCUCUGCUAUAAACAGCAUGCAAAGGAAAUUACUCUGCAAGUCUUUAUACAGGCUGUGGGUGCAUUUAAAAAAAAAGAUUUUAUUUGUUCAUUUUAUGUGGAUGAGUGCUCUAUCUGCAUGUACACCUGCAGGCCAGAAGAGGGCAUCAGACCCCAGUGUGAGCCACCAUGUGUUUGCUGGGAAGUGAACUCAGGGCCUCUGGAAGAGCAGACAGUGUUCUUAACCGCUAAGCCAUCUCUCCAGCCCCUGUGGGUGCAUUUUAAAGGACAAACUCACAGAAGUGAAAUGUGGGUCCAAGGGGCCUGAGUACUUUAGUGAGUACAGAGUGAAGGAAGUACUGAGGUGGUCACGCGCGAGUCCCGCAGCCUCAGCAGCACAGGUAUCACCUGGGCCUGUCUGAUGGCAGUGACAGCUUGUUGUUUAACCUGGAAUUCAGCUGACAAUAAGCAGCCUCCUGGGAGCUAGUCCAGGGCCUCAGAAACUGUGUGUUGUGACCCCCAUAAUGGGUCACGCGGCUACAUUUGAACACCUAAAAGACUUUGGCCAUGGUAAAAGCUCACUGAAUGUGCAACAAGCAAAAGGUAACUAUUCUAAACCACACGGCCCUGUGCUCCUGGCAGCGCCCACGGGUGCAGCGUCACUUGCUCUCAUGCGGCCUUCAUUCUGAGCGCAUGACACCCUUUGCUGAUGGUUCCUGCUGGGAAAGGCCUGGGUCAGAUUUGAGCUAUGGUCGCUAUAAAUGGUGGUGUUCCACAGGACGUGCAAAAGUCUCUUCUCUUACAGACACGUCAGGGUUGAAUUGCGGAAAACAAAGAGACGUUUUCCUGCCACCGUGCCUGUGCACAUGGCACAGCUUGUCCUUGGCUGUUUUGUGUUAGAAGGUUUGAGUUGCUGAUUUGAGUUUCAUAGAAAUCAGCCCAUGAGUUCCGGUGUGGGGUUAGGACAGACUCUCUAAUAAUUCUGAAGUGGCCCCAAUCAUACUCCUGGCAUUUUGUACAGCGCAUUUGUGACAGGCAGCAUUCUCAGUAUUGACAGUUAUAAAAUCAAAAUAUUUGACCAACUCUGAAAGAUGUUGGAGACGCUGUAGGUCCUGCAAUAUCAAAUAUUCAGCCAAGACUUGAUUCAUUUAUGUAAGCAAGUACGGUGUUGAAUUAAUAUGCAAAUUUGCUUUCAUCAUUAAUAAAUAGUAAAAUUACAUGUGUACCACAGAAUUGCUUUAACAAUAAAUUUCUUUAUGAUUUA